RNAcentral lists this ribosomal RNA (433 nucleotides) under uncultured bacterium. Its description in RNAcentral is "partial 16S ribosomal RNA". It matches the Rfam family "Bacterial small subunit ribosomal RNA", at positions 29 to 507 of the family's 1533-position model. The record is from RNAcentral.
AGCGAACGCUGGCGGCAGGCCUAACACCCCCAAGUCGAACGAACUCUUCGGAGUUAGUGGCGGACGGGUGAGUAACACGUGGGAACGUGCCUUUUGGUUCGGAAUAACUCAGGGAAACUUGUGCUAAUACCGAAUGUGCCCUUCGGGGGAAAGAUUUAUCGCCAUUAGAGCGGCCCGCGUCUGAUUAGCUAGUUGGUGAGGUAACGGCUCACCAAGGCGACGAUCAGUAGCUGGUCUGAGAGGAUGACCAGCCACACUGGGACUGAGACACGGCCCAGACUCCUACGGGAGGCAGCAGUGGGGAAUCUUGCGCAAUGGGCGAAAGCCUGACGCAGCCAUGCCGCGUGAAUGAUGAAGGUCUUAGGAUUGUAAAAUUCUUUCACCGGGGACGAUAAUGACGGUACCCGGAGAAGAAGCCCCGGCUAACUUCGUG